GGAGUUCCCAUCAGAUUGUAGCCAAAGUUCACUUAUCCACCAUUGGUCAACUAUUCAAGAAUGUGUCAACAAGUUCUGUGCAUCGCUUAUCCAAAUUGAGGGUAGAAGGCAAAGCGGUGUGACUGUACAUGACAAGCUUAUGGAGGCUUGUGCUUUCUACAAGGUAGAAGAUAAAGACAAUAAGUCGUUUCAGUUCAUGCAUUGCUGGAACCUGUUACGAACACAGCCAAAGUGGCAUGACAGGAUGAAGGAGUUGGCAGCUCAGAAGAAUUCACACAAAAAAUAGAAGACUGCAGCAGAUUCAGUUCUUGGGAUGGAUUCUGUGGCAAAUGGAAAUGAUGUCAAUCGUGAUGCAGACCAGAAUGAGAUUCCUGAGAGUGAUGUUGGAAAGAAAAGACCAAUGGGCAACAAGAAGGCAAAAGGUUCUUUGCGUCAAGGUGGAGGUGAUGCAUGCACAGAGGCUUUGGACCAUUUGUGGGAAAAAAAGAAGGAAGCCAAUGCAGAGAAGGAACUCAAGAAAGAAGAGAGAUACAAACAAUCUUUUGAACUAGAAAAGGAUAAGUUUCAGCUAGAACAGGUGAGGGUUGCAUAUGAGCAAGUGAGGGUUCAGAACUAACAACUGAGGCUAGCAAAUGAGGCAAAAGCUCUAGAGAUUAAAGAAGCCGAGAUGUAUGACAAAAGAAUGUUAGAAGAAGAACGAAUUAUGACGGUGAACACUAGUGGUAUGCCUGGAGAUCUACAGCAGUACUAUAAGAGUCUUCGAUCUGAGAUAAUGGCUCGCCGUGGGAUCAGCAGCUGAGCUUGACUUUGUUAAACAUGCAUCAACUCUUUUGUUGAAGUUAUCAUUCCUAGUUUGAACCUAUGCACUCAUGUUUCUUUAUUGUAUGAAUCAUUUUCUUUAUGGACCUGUUGCACUCCUAAAUGUUUGAGAAAGAAUCAUGUGCGAUUACUGUUA
Long non-coding RNA from Panicum virgatum (switchgrass), 955 nucleotides. RefSeq lists it as uncharacterized. The record is from RefSeq and is a predicted model, not a curated record. NCBI's taxonomy places the organism in Eukaryota, Viridiplantae, Streptophyta, Magnoliopsida, Poales, Poaceae. The transcript has 2 exons.